This 301-nucleotide ribosomal RNA is filed under the name uncultured bacterium. Its description in RNAcentral is "partial 16S ribosomal RNA". It matches the Rfam family "Bacterial small subunit ribosomal RNA", at positions 509 to 807 of the family's 1533-position model. The record is from RNAcentral.
CAGUAGCCGCGGUAAUACAGAGGGUGCGAGCGUUAAUCGGAUUUACUGGGCGUAAAGCGUGCGUAGGCGGCUUCUUAAGUCGGAUGUGAAAUCCCUGAGCUUAACUUAGGAAUUGCAUUCGAUACUGGGAAGCUAGAGUAUGGGAGAGGAUGGUAGAAUUCCAGGUGUAGCGGUGAAAUGCGUAGAGAUCUGGAGGAAUACCGAUGGCGAAGGCAGCCAUCUGGCCUAAUACUGACGCUCAUGCACGAAAGCGUGGGGAGCAAACAGGAUUAGAUACCCCAGUAGUCCCUGUCUCUUAUAC